UCAGCCACCGUUUUUCAUCCCGGAG
This 25-nucleotide unclassified non-coding RNA is filed under the name Mus musculus (house mouse). RNAcentral describes it as "oocyte_clustered_small_RNA2263". Lineage: Eukaryota; Metazoa; Chordata; Mammalia; Rodentia; Muridae. The record is from RNAcentral.